Podarcis lilfordi (Lilford's wall lizard) is the source of this 78-nucleotide non-coding RNA. The record is from the annotation of a GenBank genome assembly. Lineage: Eukaryota; Metazoa; Chordata; Lepidosauria; Squamata; Lacertidae.
GUAGAUAGUUCAGUUGGUUAGAGUGUGGUACUGAUAACACCAAUGUUGCUGGUUCAAUCCCUGUGUAGGACAGCUGCA